RNAcentral lists this ribosomal RNA (1437 nucleotides) under uncultured organism. Its description in RNAcentral is "SSU rRNA". It matches the Rfam family "Bacterial small subunit ribosomal RNA". The record is from RNAcentral.
CAUGAUGAACGCUAGCUACAGGCUUAACACAUGCAAGUCGAGGGGCAGCAUGGUCUUAGCUUGCUAAGGCCGAUGGCGACCGGCGCACGGGUGAGUAACACGUAUCCAACCUGCCGUCUACUCUUGGACAGCCUUCUGAAAGGAAGAUUAAUACAAGAUGGCAUCAUGAGUCCGCAUGUUCACAUGAUUAAAGGUAUUCCGGUAGACGAUGGGGAUGCGUUCCAUUAGAUAGUAGGCGGGGUAACGGCCCACCUAGUCUUCGAUGGAUAGGGGUUCUGAGAGGAAGGUCCCCCACAUUGGAACUGAGACACGGUCCAAACUCCUACGGGAGGCAGCAGUGAGGAAUAUUGGUCAAUGGGCGAGAGCCUGAACCAGCCAAGUAGCGUGAAGGAUGACUGCCCUAUGGGUUGUAAACUUCUUUUAUAAAGGAAUAAAGUCGGGUAUGGAUACCCGUUUGCAUGUACUUUAUGAAUAAGGAUCGGCUAACUCCGUGCCAGCAGCCGCGGUAAUACGGAGGAUCCGAGCGUUAUCCGGAUUUAUUGGGUUUAAAGGGAGCGUAGAUGGAUGUUUAAGUCAGUUGUGAAAGUUUGCGGCUCAACCGUAAAAUUGCAGUUGAUACUGGAUAUCUUGAGUGCAGUUGAGGCAGGCGGAAUUCGUGGUGUAGCGGUGAAAUGCUUAGAUAUCACGAAGAACUCCGAUUGCGAAGGCAGCCUGCUAAGCUGCAACUGACAUUGAGGCUCGAAAGUGUGGGUAUCAAACAGGAUUAGAUACCCUGGUAGUCCACACGGUAAACGAUGAAUACUCGCUGUUUGCGAUAUACUGCAAGCGGCCAAGCGAAAGCGUUAAGUAUUCCACCUGGGGAGUACGCCGGCAACGGUGAAACUCAAAGGAAUUGACGGGGGCCCGCACAAGCGGAGGAACAUGUGGUUUAAUUCGAUGAUACGCGAGGAACCUUACCCGGGCUUAAAUUGCAGAUGAAUUACGGUGAAAGCCGUAAGCCGCAAGGCAUCUGUGAAGGUGCUGCAUGGUUGUCGUCAGCUCGUGCCGUGAGGUGUCGGCUUAAGUGUCAUAACGAGCGCAACCCUUGUUGUCAGUUACUAACAGGUUCCGCUGAGGACUCUGACAAGACUGCCAUCGUAAGAUGUGAGGAAGGUGGGGAUGACGUCAAAUCAGCACGGCCCUUACGUCCGGGGCUACACACGUGUUACAAUGGGGGGUACAGAGGGCCGCUACCACGCGAGUGGAUGCCAAUCCCCAAAACCUCUCUCAGUUCGGACUGGAGUCUGCAACCCGACUCCACGAAGCUGGAUUCGCUAGUAAUCGCGCAUCAGCCACGGCGCGGUGAAUACGUUCCCGGGCCUUGUACACACCGCCCGUCAAGCCAUGGGAGCCGGGGGUACUUGAAGUGCGUAACCGCGAGGAGCGCCCUAGGGUAAA